CAUUUUUCGAUUUUCCCCGACUUUCUCCGACGAUGCGAUGGCGAUAGCGAUGGUGAUUCCGGUGACUUAUGCUCCGACGAUUGACACGAUCAUUUGAGGCAGUCUCCUUUGUCCAGAUUUUCUUCUUCAACCUCUUUCUCUUGCUUACCCACCAAAUUCAUCAUCUUUGAAACUGCUUCAUCCCUUUCGCUUUGGUGAUUCUGAAGACUCCGCUUUAUACCCAUUUUGAUCUUUAUGGCACAUCGAACAAGGAGAUAUUAUCUUAUAGAAGAAUGCUUCCAAGUUAGUUGCUUUUGUGCUAUAUCUUGAGGACUUAAGGCUUAUGGUUAGUGUUCAUACUUUGUUUUCUUGUUUGGUCUAUAAUAGACACUACUGGUUGAAUUAGAAUCUGGAACCGACAUUAGUGUUUUUGUUGGCCAAUAUUUUGUUACUGCGAUGAAAUGAAAAAAUCACGAGCUGAUGAUGGCUAUGAUGAAGCUUAUUGGGUCUGAUGAUUUGGGUAUUAAUAAUAAACUCCUUAGAUUUAGUCAAACUAUGAUCCUACAGGACCUCCUCAUCUCUUAGCAACAAUGUAAUCUAUUACUAGGGAAGAACAAAAACAAUAAUCUAUUUUAUGGUGAUUGAUGCUUGAUUGGAACAAUUAGGCAAUGAUGCUUUCAGAUUUAGAAAGUCUUGAUUUUGGAUUUAGUCUUGGUGGACGUAAUAUGGUCGGCGUUAGGAGCAGUGGAGACUUUGAAUUUCAUGUGAUUAAAUUGUGAUUAUGCAACAUUUCCCUAUGCUCUUAAGACUGUGAUUAAACAAAACUUUACUAUAGUAGCGAAAAGCAACGGUCAGUUUCAUACAUGAUAGUUGAUGAUAACUGUGUGUGUGAAUGCAUGUAUAUUAAUAGCAUUCCGGUGAAUCAUAACUUCAUUCUACCACCAUUCAAGAUUUAGCAAAUACAGACACUAACUACGAAAUGAGAUUCAUUGGAUAUAACCAAAUUCCAAGCACUCCUAGUCCUCUUGGCUUUGGGACACUUUUAAGCUCUGUCAAUCUUUAUUUCUGUUUUGAACUGAACGUUUGUUGUCAUUGGCUGCAAAAGCUGUCAUUUGGCUAAUGAUCGAAUUGUGGAAACAAAGGAUAAUUAUAGAAUGGUUCAAAGAAGUUGGUUUCUUCUUGGUUUAAAUCUUGUUUCUUCAAUGUUCAAAUACUUUUGAUGUCUUUUAUUAAUUUUUAUGAAACAAUUUUUUUUUUCCUAAGAACCUAAUUAGAGAGACUAACCAUUGGACUAAGAAAACUUAAAAUAAAAAACACAAGUUCUCAUCUAACAAAAUUUCAAAUAAUUUAUACUAAAACAAUUGGUGAGAGCCCAUGGGGGACUCUCACCGUUGGAGAUGCUCUAAAGUUUCUUCUACGUUUGAAAUAAUACAUUCUGAUUUGUGGACUUCUCCUAUUCCUAGUCUAUCCGGAAUUCGUUACUAUGUUUUGUUUCUCGAUCAAUUCUCUCAUUUUCUAUGGAUUUAUCCUCUUCGCAAUAAGAGUGAUGUGUUCUCAAAAUUUCUGCAAUUUCAUACCUAUGUCAAAACACAAUUCGAGAAACACAUUAAAUCUCUACAGUGUGAUAAUGGUGGUGAGUAUAAAAACUCACAGUUUCAUGAUUUCUUUGCUAAACACGGGAUACAGUUUCGUUUUUCGUGUCCAUACACCUCUCAACAAAAUGGCAGAUUGGAACGCAUGAUACGAACCCAUCAACAAUGCUUUUUGCACUAUGCUGCUUCAAGCUCAUCUUCCCAAUACGUUUUGGGUAGAAGCUCUAAGGGCAUCUCCAAUAGUAAUCUCUAUAUUUUCCUCUAUUUAUAGAGAUGACUCUAUUUUAAAGACAUUGUGCUCCAAUGGUCACCUUUAAAAUAGAGUUUCCUCUGAAAUAGAGGAAAAAAUAGAGAUAUAUACUUUUUGUCUCUAUAAAUAGAGAUCUCUACAAUUCAUCUCUAUUUUUUCCUUUAUUUUUGAGGAAACUCUAUUUUAGAGGUGACCACUGGAGCACAAUGCGUCUAAAAUAGAGUUCCCUCUAAAAUAGAGAAAAAUAUAGAGGUGAUCAUUGGAGAUGGUCUAAAUAAUGCAGUUCACAUUCUCAAUCUCCUUCCAUCCACUUCUAUCGAUAACAAAAUUCAUUUCUCAGUGUUAUUCAACAAAACACCAUCUUACUCUCAUCUUAGAGUUUUUGGUUCUCUUUGUUAUCCUCACACAAAUAAUCAAAACAAACUUGAUCCAAGGUCAUCACCAUCAGCUUUCCUAAGUUAUCCUCUACUUGACUCAGGGUAUAGAUGUUUUGAUUUAAAAACACGGAAAAUUGUGAUAUCUCGUCAUGUCACAUUUUAAGAGGAUAUCUUCCCUUACCAAAUCACCAAUGCUAAAAUCGACUCUGCUUAUGACUUUCUUGAAGCGGAUACAGAGCCUUCUCAAAUUCAAAAGCAGCUUUUGCUUACACCUUCUCUUCCAGCGACAAAUGAAACAGAUCUAGUUUUGACUGCUCUUGCUCCUCAUGUAGCGACUCAACCACCACCACAGCGUAUGGUGACUAGAUCGCAGCAGGGCAUUCGUAAACCAAAGAAAAUUCUCUCACUAAAUGCUCAAACACUUUCCCAAAUUCCAAAGGGUUAUAAGCAAGCUCUAAUGGAUCCGAAUUGGAAUCCUUCAAUGACAGAAGAGUAUGAUGCUUUGAUUAAGACUUACACUUGGAGUUUAGUGCCUAAACCUGCAGGUACAAACAUCAUCAAUUCGAUUUGGUUGUACAAGCACAAGUUUAAUGCUGACGGCUCACUCUCUAGAUAGAAAUUCAGACUUGUCUCUAAUGGUAAAUUUUUGGAACAAGGAGUCAAUUUUGAUGAAACGUUUAGCCCAGUGGUUAAGCCUGCUACAAUUCGUGCAGUAUUGAACUUUGCGGUUGAACGACAUUGCCUGGUGCAUCAGUUGGAUGUACAAAACGCCUUUUUGCAUGGAGAGCUUGAAGAAACAGUUACAUGUAUCCACCAGCAGGGUUUGUUGACAAUAGGAAUCCGGGUUAUGUAUGCAAGCUAAAUAAGGCGUUGUAUGGCCUGAAACAAGCACCACGGGCUUGGAAUGCUCGGUUUGUAGCUUAUGUUAAAAGAUGGGUUUUGUGCAGAGUAAAUGUGAUGCUUCUCUAUUUGUGUACAAACACGGGCAAGACAAGGCCUACUUGUUGCUCUAUGUCGAUGACAUAAUGCUUACAACAUCCUCAUCCAGAUUCCUUGACUCCAUAGUCGACAAACUCAAAACGGAAUUCCCAAUGUUAGACACAGGUAAACUCAGCUUCUUUCUAGGCAUCUCAGUUAUGCUCGAUAGUAACGGCAUGUUCUUAUGCCAAGAAAACUAUGCAAAGGAUAUUAUUAAGAGGGCAGAGAUGCAAAACUGCAAACCCAGCCUCACACUGGUUGAUCUAGCUUCAAAGCUAGAAGAGAAUGUUGGACCAAAGAUACAAAACCCGACUCUGUAUAGAAGCUCGGCAGGAGCACUGCAAUAUUUAACUAUUACAAGACCGAAUAUAUCUUAUGAUGUCUAACAAGUCUGCUUGUUCAUGCAUGACCCAAGGGAAAUACACCUUCAUGCACUCUGACGUAUCUUCCGCUAUAUCAAGGGGUCUCCUUCUUAAGGUCUUAGUAUUACUAAGUCUCCAUCAACGAAAUUGGUCGCUUAUUCGGAUGCGGACUGGGCUGGGUGUCCAAACACGAGGCGUUCAACUUCAGGGUACUAUGAUUUCCUUGGUGAUACUCUAAUCUCUUGGUCGUCUAAGCGACAAGGCUCGGUUUCAAGAUCAAGUGCAGAAGCAGAAUAAAAGGCAGAGGCAAACGCGGUGGCAGAGACUUGUUGGAUACGGAACUUAUUGUUCGAGUUACAUUAUCCGUUAUCGCAGGCAAUGUUGGUGUUUUGUGACAAUGUGAGUGUCGUAUAUCUCUCUACCAAUCUUGUCAAGCAUCAGCGAACCAUGCAUGUUGAAAUAGACAUACACUUUGUGCGGGAGAAGGUCGCAAAAGGCGAGGUUCGUGUCAUUCACAUUCUUGCAACACAUCAAUACGCAUACAUUUUCACUAAGGGCCACAUUACUUCCCUGUUCAAUCAAUUCAAGUCAAGCCUUGACGUCAUUACAAGACCGAUGCUAAGACUGCGGGAGGGUAUCAGGAGAUAGGAUAUUCUUCUCAAUAUUCUUCUCAAUAUGUUUGUUAUAAGUUUAGUUACGACUUUGUUAAUAUCCUCAUGUACCUAGAAUGUAGGAAAGAUCUGUACUCUUGUAACUAAAUCGUGUAUAUAUUCACUCUAAUGCAAAGCUAUCUUCUCAAGGAGACUUACACAAUCUUACAGAAUCAGACAUCAAAAAUGAUGGUGGAUUUUUGAUAGAUGCUCCUUCUUUGCAGCUCUUGGAGAUUCAAGAAUAUCCAGAUGGGUUUUGUGGCAUUGAGCAUAGUAUGCCUAAGAUUGAAACCGCAAAUGUUUAUGUUACUCAUACUGAGCAGAUUCUUUCUUCUCUUACUUCAAUCAAGUAACUCGGAUUACGUUUAACGACAUCAAAGGUAAUUAUUAUUAGUUCUACUCUAUAUACUUAUUUAAGAAGAUUUUAUCAUUGUUAUAUUGGAUAAUAAACUCCCUUGACUGAAUUAUUAUGAGAGACACACAUAUAUAGAGAUAUAUAGAGAUACAAAGAGUUCUAGAAAGUUAUAUCUAAGGGUAUGUCAUGGCGUUAUUCCAAUGACUAUUCUUGGCCGCUUGAAUAUGCGAUAUUAGAGCGGGAGAAAUAGUGAUAUCAGUGUGAAGACAAAAAUGUUUUUUUGAUUUGAAGAUACAUUACUACGAUUUUGUAUAGUAUUAGUGGAAGUAGAAUUAGAAGUAGAAGUAUGAGAAGGAGGUACCAUAGGGCUUCUUUGUUAUCACGAAACAGAUUUUUGAUUGCAGACCAAAGGUCAUGAAUGGAGCACUUCGGUUUGAGGACGAUCUCAAGUAUGGACUCGGUAAUUGUCCCAUAGAUCCACAUUUUGACAAGAUCAUUGUGCUCUUUCCAAGAUUUUUCAGUUUCCGGCGUGGAGGAGGAAGUGUUGUCGAUGUGCCAAUAUAUUAGGGGCUGGUUUGGCUCGGUUCUCUUUAGUUACUCUUGGUAUAAUCAUCUACGAAUAUACUCUAACAGAUGCAUAUAUUCUUUGUAACUAGAAUUAGAUAGAUCUUCCUAGAUUCACGCUUUCGGUUGUACAUUGACUCUAUAUAUGUUGUAUGCUGUUCAUUGUGAUCAAUAACACGAAUCCAUUUGAUCUCUGAAAUCCUUUACAAGAACACCAAAACUGCUACUAUGCAUUUCAAAAAGCUCUCUCCAUGUAUCGUAGUUGAGUUUGGCCUUGUCAAGAGUGAUGAGAAUGUAAGAUUUGAUUUGGCUAAUAGAGAACGGUUUGUCAGAGGUGGUAGAUAGAUUGGUACGGGCCAUCGUUGAGAAUAGAGAGUAAUUAAAAAACAAAAAAAUAUAAAAAGAAAAACAAAAGGUUUAGAUGAGGAAG
This 5537-nucleotide unclassified non-coding RNA is filed under the name Arabidopsis thaliana (thale cress). The record is from RNAcentral. Lineage: Eukaryota; Viridiplantae; Streptophyta; Magnoliopsida; Brassicales; Brassicaceae.